RNAcentral lists this transfer RNA (75 nucleotides) under bacterium. RNAcentral describes it as "tRNA-Arg". It matches the Rfam family "tRNA". From Rfam's summary of the family: Transfer RNA (tRNA) molecules are approximately 80 nucleotides in length. Their secondary structure includes four short double-helical elements and three loops (D, anti-codon, and T loops). RNAcentral also lists the same sequence under 1 other name. The record is from RNAcentral.
GUACUCGUCGUUCAACGGAUAGGACAUUAGCUUGCGGAGCUGAUAAUCGAGGUUCGAUUCCUCGCGAGUACACCA